GAUAACUCAGCUGGCUUGAGCAUGGUACUGAUAAUGCCAAGGUUGCAGGUUCAGCUGCAUAUUCCUGCAUUGCA
Non-coding RNA from Podarcis lilfordi (Lilford's wall lizard), 74 nucleotides. The record is from the annotation of a GenBank genome assembly. NCBI's taxonomy places the organism in Eukaryota, Metazoa, Chordata, Lepidosauria, Squamata, Lacertidae.